This is a microRNA precursor of Cercocebus atys (sooty mangabey), 79 nucleotides long. The record is from Ensembl. NCBI's taxonomy places the organism in Eukaryota, Metazoa, Chordata, Mammalia, Primates, Cercopithecidae.
GCUCGGCCCCCACGGUGAAACGGCCGCCUAAACCACCCAGGCCUUAUGGCUCCAUAGGCUGUGAUGCUCUCCUGAGCCC